AUUUGACAGCUUCCCCAAAGCAGGCUUUACAGUCCAGGCUCCCCGAGAAGCCUGGGGAGGAGACCCUCCCAGGCGUUUUUCUCACUGGUUGCCGCCAGCUGGGGGAAGCAGCAUUUGUGAGCACCUGCCUGUCUCCCCAGGUCCUGUUCAGAAACCCCAUCUGUGCCUUUGGAGGGACUGCCCUGCGCACACAGGCCCAGUAACCACCAUCUACGGCCCCCAGGACCUAAUCCCCUUCUACAUAGGGUUCAGUGCAUGUCACAGGUCCAGCAACCACCAUCUACGGCCCCCAGGACCUAAUCCCCUUCUACUUGGGGUUCAGUGCAUGUUAGCAGACACUGGGCUCGAUUCCUGCCUAGUCCCUGCCAGAUACCCCAUGCCCACCUCGUGAAGAGAAUGAGGCCACACAAACACACCCAGACCGUCAUGGUGAUGGAGUGCCUGGGGUCCCACUUGCCCACCCUUCAUUGCUGGUUCAGAGCCAGCUGUCUGACCACAUUCCUACUCCAAGAUGGGACUUUGGAGACAUUGUCCACCAGGGUCGCUGACCCCUUUUAACGUUCCAGAAACAUGGCCAGCUGGUCCCCUAGAAGUUUGGUACAUGGGAUAAGCCAAGGCUUGCCUUCAGGAACAGGUUUUCCACCACGUCGCUGCCCAAGGCCCAGGGCAUCCCCAAGUUCACGUGAAGCCUGCCUGCCAUGUCCACAGCCCAUGCUGAGCCCUCCUGGAGCCACUGGAAUGCUUGUUCCUGGGCAUGUGAUGAACCCAGACAGCUUCUGCCUUGCAGGACAACUGUGUGCAUCUGGCAGCAGUAGCCGGAGGGCCCAUGGAAAGAAGAUGGAGGUGAAACCAGAUGCUGUGAGAAUACUUUAUUAGUCAAAACUGCACACUAUAAAAGUGCUUUAAAAUGCAGCAGCAGGAGAUGUGAAGACACAAAUGAACAAGUGCGUAGUGACACAUAGCUGUCACAACACAGUGAAGAAUACACACUGCCUCCCCCGCUUUACCUAGAAAAGGAGAGUUCUAGGCCACCUCCUCCUCAGCAUACUCCUCAUCCUCCUCCUCCUUGGCCGUGGCAUCCUGAUAUUGCUGAUAUUCAGACACCAGGUCA
Molecule: long non-coding RNA, 1111 nt
Filed under: Homo sapiens (human)
Lineage: Eukaryota; Metazoa; Chordata; Mammalia; Primates; Hominidae
Description: HSALNT0157188
Source: RNAcentral